AUCCAUCUGACUAGUCCGAAAUAGGACGAAACGCGCGUCCUGGAU
RNAcentral lists this non-coding RNA (45 nucleotides) under Schistosoma haematobium. Lineage: Eukaryota; Metazoa; Platyhelminthes; Trematoda; Strigeidida; Schistosomatidae. The record is from RNAcentral.